RNAcentral lists this ribosomal RNA (764 nucleotides) under uncultured bacterium. RNAcentral's name for it is "bacterial SSU rRNA". It matches the Rfam family "Bacterial small subunit ribosomal RNA", at positions 69 to 865 of the family's 1533-position model. The record is from RNAcentral.
AAAACCUGCUUUUUCUAGCAGACGAGUGGCGGACGGGGAUAUAAUAUUUGGAAGCUACCUGAUAGAGGGGGACAACAGUUGGAAACGACUGCUAUUACCGCAUAUAGCUUGAGGGUGAAAGCAGCAAAGCGAGAUCAGAUGCGCCCAAACGGGAUUAGUUGGUAGCGUGGGGUAAAGGCUCACGUAGGCGACGAUCUCUAGCUGGUAUGAGAGGAUGAUCAGCCACAUUGAGAGUGAGACACGGCCCAGACUCUUACGAGAGGCAGCAGUAGGGAAUACUGCACAAUGGGGGAAACCAUGAAGCAGCCAUGCCGCGAGAGUGAAGAAGGCCUUGGGGUAGUAAAGCACUUUCGGAGGGGAGGAACAAAUGACGUUACCCUCAGAAGAAGCACCGGCUAACUCCGUGCCAGCAGCCGCGGUAAUACGGAGGGUGCAAGCGUUAAUAGGAAUAACUGGGCGUAAAGGGCACGCAGGCGGUUAAACAAGUAGGAUGAGAUAAUCCCCGGGCUCAACCUGGGAACUGCAUUAUAAACUCUUUAACUAGAGUAUUGCAGGGGGAGAGGGAAUUCCAGGUGUAGCGGUGGAAUGAGUAGAUAUGAGGAAGAACACCAAAGGAGAAGGCAGUCUGGUGGGCAAAUAAUGACGCUCAGAUGAGAAAGCGUGGGCAGCAAACGAGGAUUAUGAUACCGUGGUACUCCCCGCAGUAAACGAUGUCAAAGAGGAGCUUGCGCUUAAGUAUGGGUUCCGCAGCUAACGCAAUAAAU